UAGAAGGUUAUACUUGUCACUUACAUGCUCGUGGGUGAGGCAGGUCGCUAGUAGUAGUUGAAGCAGGCCACCCUACUCGUUCCAGUCACUUGGGAACAGUUCCUGAUAGCUUUCAAUGCAGAGAAGCUCCUAGAGAAUUUUCAGGAUUUGAAAAAAAUAGAGUUUGCACACUUGGUAUAAGACAAUAUGACAGUGUCAGAGUAUCCCCGAAGGUUCUUAAAUUUGGGCUAGUAGUCCCCUGAGAGUAUGAUGGAUGAAGGCAUGAAG
RNAcentral lists this long non-coding RNA (267 nucleotides) under Carica papaya (papaya). RNAcentral describes it as "long non-coding RNA (CPAP_LNC002796)". The record is from RNAcentral. Lineage: Eukaryota; Viridiplantae; Streptophyta; Magnoliopsida; Brassicales; Caricaceae.